Molecule: ribosomal RNA, 67 nt
Filed under: Pseudomonas nicosulfuronedens
Lineage: Bacteria; Pseudomonadati; Pseudomonadota; Gammaproteobacteria; Pseudomonadales; Pseudomonadaceae
Description: Pseudomonas sp. LAM1902 partial 16S ribosomal RNA
Source: RNAcentral
GUUUCGAAAGGAACGCUAAUACCGCAUACGUCCUACGGGAGAAAGCAGGGGACCUUCGGGCCUUGCG